CGCUGGUACCUAUUCCGGGAUAUAUUAGAGCAAUCUUAAAUAGACCUUCCAACUGCGAGAAGUGACAGUAGGUGGAUCGAUGAGAAUGCAAACUGACAAGGCACCCCAAAAAUACGGAAAAAACACCCUCCACUGGUUGAUCCAGUGUACUGUUUCUUAGUAGCCGGUCCAUGAGCUGCCAAGCUGAUCUAUUAGUAAUUUCCUGUAGGUGUAAAAUGCCAAAGGUCAUUUGCGAACUUUAGGGCCACAAAAGGAAAACUGCUAACAGGUCUCGACUCUUGAAGUGGAAGAUGGCUCCUCCAAUCGUGCCAGGGCACCCGGUGAUGUGGUCUUGCAGGCCAAUCUCCAAUCUCAAGUAACGCGUGAAGUCUACCACCAAUUCCGUAACAGAAGCGAGUAGGGUCUUUCGUUCACUCAUGACCUACUCGGUGAGUCGUCUCCUCUGAGAGUGAAUUUAUAUGCAGGCAAGAGUGCGGUCAAAAAUAGCCAUAUCCUGAGUGAUUCCAGUAUUCCAAAUGUACUGUGUGACCCGCGACUGCGGUAGUGAAAGAAACUCCCAGAGGACGUCCAAUCAGGGUCUGAACUGAACUUGUGAAGUAAAACGGUGUUCGACUACCUUGGGGAUUGUGAACCCCGGAAUAUCCAAAAGGAGGAGAACACAACCAGGGUUGAGGUUUCCAUCCAGCUAUAUCAUAUCGAAGAGUGAUAAGACGUCCGGAUCCAAUGGUAAUUGGGACCUGUAUAACAAAAAGAGUCCUCACGUACUGUAGUGAGAGAGUGAAAUAAACCGAUACGAUCCUGAUCCCUGUCUGACCUGUCAAAAUAUGUGUAUGGAACGCCACCUACAAGAUAGAGUAUAAUAUAAUGAGUCUCUUGGUCCCUGCACCCCUGACUGUCCGGGUACGAUUUCCAAGAGUAGGCCCCAGGCCAAGGAACCCAGGAAAGUGAAUUUGAUAAAAGAAGUCAAAGCAUCCCUAUAUAGGAAUACCUCCCUUUAUCCUGGAGUUCCGUGGACUCAUAGUGUUUUCUGAUACGUAAGCAAGACGUAAAGUCCCUUUACUCACAACAGGACUUCCAGAUAGCAGAUAUAACAAAAC
Pelobates cultripes (western spadefoot toad) is the source of this 1097-nucleotide non-coding RNA. NCBI's taxonomy places the organism in Eukaryota, Metazoa, Chordata, Amphibia, Anura, Pelobatidae. The record is from the annotation of a GenBank genome assembly.